GACCACUUGGGUUUCCUUACUUUGAAAGAGCUCAGAAGGAACCUUUACAACUGCUAAUGAAAGGCUGCAGAGAAGAGCUGAAAUUAAGUCAGCAGAGUUCACGAUUUGUCUUGGAGCAGAGCCUAAUUCAGUUUGUAAUGCUGGAGUCCCAGCAUCAGUGCAGGUUUGAUGUCUCAAAAGAGCCGCUUCAGAGAUGCACAUCACACAGAGAGAUGGACAACAGUGGCACCCAGCUGUCCCGCUGAGAAUGGGUGACUUCCACAGACUGGAAGAUGAACUUGGAACUCUCAGAAGUCAUUGGAUGAUGGAGCUGAAAGACGU
This is a long non-coding RNA of Hirundo rustica (Barn swallow), 321 nucleotides long. RefSeq lists it as uncharacterized. The record is from RefSeq and is a predicted model, not a curated record. Lineage: Eukaryota; Metazoa; Chordata; Aves; Passeriformes; Hirundinidae. The transcript has 3 exons.